AGUCGAGAAUUUUUGACAAUGGGGGAAACCCUGAUCGAGCGACGCCGCGUGGAGGAUGAAGGUCUUCGGAUUGUAAACUCCUGUCAUUGGGGAACAAUGCGCAAAUAUUAACUGUAUUUGUGUUGAUAGUACCCGAAGAGGAAGAGACGGCUAACUCUGUGCCAGCAGCCGCGGUAAUACAGAGGUCUCAAGCGUUGUUCGGAUUCAUUGGGCGUAAAGGGUGCGUAGGCGGCGCGGUAAGUCGGGUGUGAAAUCUCGGAGCUUAACUCCGAAACUGCAUUCGAUACUGCCGUGCUUGAGGACUGGAGAGGAGACUGGAAUUUACGGUGUAGCGGUGAAAUGCGUAGAUAUCGUAAGGAAGACCAGUGGCGAAGGCGGGUCUCUGGACAGUUCCUGACGCUGAGGCACGAAGGUCAGGGGAGCAAA
This 426-nucleotide ribosomal RNA is filed under the name uncultured bacterium. RNAcentral describes it as "bacterial SSU rRNA". It matches the Rfam family "Bacterial small subunit ribosomal RNA", at positions 353 to 772 of the family's 1533-position model. The record is from RNAcentral.